UUGAAAUAUAUAUAAAGUCUAACCUGCCCACUGAAAUUUUUAAAUGGCCGCAGUAUUUUGACUGUGCAAAGGUAGCAUAAUCAUUAGUUUUUUAAUUAAAAGCUUGUAUGAAAGGUUGGACGAAGUAAAAUCUGUCUCUAUUUAAUUUAAAUUAGAAUUUAAUUUUUGAGUUAAAAAGCUUAAAUUUUUAUAAAAGACGAGAAGACCCUAUAGAACUUUAUAAUUUAUUUAAUAUAAUUAAUUAAGAUUUAUUUAAGUUUUAUUAUAUAUAAUUAUUUUAUUGGGGUAAUAAAAAGAUUAAAAAAAUUCUUUUUUUUUAUUAACAUUUAUUUAUGAUAAUAUUAUUAAUGAUCCAUUUUUAAUGAUUAUAAGAUUAAGUUACCUUAGGGAUAACAGCGUAAUUUUUUUAAAGAGUUCAUAUCGAUAAAAAAGUUUGCGACCUCGAUGUUGGAUUAAAGAUUAAUUUAGGUGUAGAAGUUUAAAUUUUUGGUCUGUUCGACCAUUAAAUCUUUACAUGAUCUGAGUUCAGACCGGUGUAAGCCAGGUCGGUUUCUAUCUUUAUUAAAUUUAAAUAUUUUAGUACGAAAGGACCAAAUAUUUGAUAUAUUAAUAUUUAUUUUUUGAAUAUUAUUAAUUAUUUUGGCAGAUUAGUGCAAUGAAUUUAGAAUUNAUAUAUGUAAUUAUUUUUACAAGUAAUACUUGUUUUAUAUAGAUUUAUUAUUUUCUUUAAUUUUUAGAUUAUUAUUAAUUAUUUGUGUUUUAGUGGAGU
This 769-nucleotide ribosomal RNA is filed under the name Pterostichus pusillus. RNAcentral describes it as "partial large subunit ribosomal RNA". The stretch from base 1 to 583 matches the Rfam family "Bacterial large subunit ribosomal RNA", at positions 1836 to 2925 of the family's 2925-position model. The record is from RNAcentral. Lineage: Eukaryota; Metazoa; Arthropoda; Insecta; Coleoptera; Carabidae.